GGCUCCAUAGUGUAGUGGUUAGCACGUCUGCUUUACACGCAGAAGGUCCCUGGGUUCGCGCCCCAGGUGGAGCCA
This 75-nucleotide transfer RNA is filed under the name Pteropus alecto (black flying fox). It matches the Rfam family "tRNA". From Rfam's summary of the family: Transfer RNA (tRNA) molecules are approximately 80 nucleotides in length. Their secondary structure includes four short double-helical elements and three loops (D, anti-codon, and T loops). The record is from Rfam by way of RNAcentral. Lineage: Eukaryota; Metazoa; Chordata; Mammalia; Chiroptera; Pteropodidae.